Molecule: ribosomal RNA, 630 nt
Filed under: Agabus cephalotes
Lineage: Eukaryota; Metazoa; Arthropoda; Insecta; Coleoptera; Dytiscidae
Description: partial 16S ribosomal RNA
Rfam family: Bacterial large subunit ribosomal RNA
Source: RNAcentral
GUCCUUAUGAAUUUAAUUUAAGGUUUGACCUGCCCACUGAAAUUAUUUGAAGGGCCGCAGUAAUUUGACUGUGCAAAGGUAGCAUAAUCAUUAGUUUUUUAAUUAAAAGCUUGUAUGAAGGGUUGGACGAGGUAAAUUCUGUCUCUAUUUAAUUUAAUAUAGAAUUUAAUUUUUAAGUUAAAAAGCUUAAAUUUUUUUAAAAGACGAGAAGACCCUAUAGAUCUUUAUAUUAUAAAUACUAAUUUUAAUUAAGAAUAUUUUAUUUUUUAUUAUUUAUAUUAUUUUAUUGGGGUAAUAAGAAGAUUAAUUUAAUUCUUUUUUUAUUUUUACAUUAAUAAAUGAUUAUAUGAUCCAAUUUUAUUGAUUAAAAGAUUAAGUUACCUUAGGGAUAACAGCGUAAUUUUUUUAGAGAGUUCAUAUCGAUAAAAAAGUUUGCGACCUCGAUGUUGGAUUAAAAAUUAUCUUAGGUGCAGAAGUUUAAGAUUUUGGUCUGUUCGACCAUUAAAUUUUUACAUGAUCUGAGUUCAGACCGGUGUAAGCCAGGUCGGUUUCUAUCUUUAAUAAAAUAAAAUAUUUUAGUACGAAAGGACCAAGUAUUUGAUAUAUUUAUAUUUAGUUUUUUUUGAAUAU